UCGAACGAGAAAGUGGAGCAAUCCAUGAGUAAAGUGGCGACCGGGUGAGUAACACGUGACUAACCUACCUCCGAGUGGGGAAUAACUCCGGGAAACCGGGGCUAAUACCGCAUAACAUCGCAAGAUCAAAGCAGCAAUGCGCUUGGAGAGGGGGUCGCGGCUGAUUAGCUCGUUGGCGGGGUAACGGCCCACCAAGGCGAAGAUCGGUAUCCGGCCUGAGAGGGCGCACGGACACACUGGAACUGAAACACGGUCCAGACUCCUACGGGAGGCAGCAGUGGGGAAUUUUGCGCAAUGGGGGAAACCCUGACGCAGCAACGCCGCGUGGAGGAUGAAGCCCUUUGGGGCGUAAACUCCUUUCGACUCGGACGAUAAUGACGGUACGAGUGGAAGAAGCACCGGCUAACUCUGUGCCAGCAGCCGCGGUAAUACAGAGGGUGCGAGCGUNGUUCGGA
Molecule: ribosomal RNA, 455 nt
Filed under: uncultured bacterium
Lineage: Bacteria
Description: bacterial SSU rRNA
Rfam family: Bacterial small subunit ribosomal RNA
Source: RNAcentral